CUUUCAUUAGCCAGAUAAUCUCGGCCAACGGAGGAACCAGGCAACGGGCACAAAUGAAAAAUGUAAUGGCAAUGUAUAUUAAUGUGUGGCAUUGGCCCAACUUCAAAAAAGAUGUGCCCCAAGUAGUAAAAUAAUGUAAUAUCACCUUCUUGGGGAGAAUGCAACCCUGUCUGCAGCCGAUGUGUAAGAAGAUUUAUAGAUCAAUAACAUGGGUGAAUUCAAGGUCAGCAAAAGAAAUGUGGACUCAAAAGGCAAAAUGACUUUUGCAGGGGUAGAACCACUGAAAUGCAGCAGACAUUUACAUCUGCAGUCUUUUGCAAGUUGAAAAUCAAAUAGGUUGAUCCAUGUUAAUAGAAAGCCCUUGACCAGACCAAACAGAGCCAGAGAGGACCGAUGGAAAGUCUAAUUGCUUAAAGUUCAAAAGCAUUAUAUCUGGGUAAGCAACAACACAAUUUUUUUCUAAAUUGAGAUGUUAUGUACUAUUCUUAAAGAUCAGGAAUAUGUACUGCACUGGUACUAGCUUUGUCUUCUUUUUUAGACACUUUCUUCCGUUUUUUCUCAGACUGGGGUUCUUUUGCUUUCAGAUCAUUGGAGAAGGACCUCAAUGAGGCAGCUAGAUGUUCAUUUCUAUGAGCUGAAACCAGAGAAGAGGGGUAAGCACAUCCAAGGGAAUCAAAACAUGCUGCUUUCUUAAUGUUAAAGUAGUGAGAGAAAAAGGACAGUCUCACUCCACAUCUCUUCAAUUUUGAUAUUGAAAACAAAACCAAAAAUAAGAAGUGAAUAAGGAAUGGGUUUGCUUGGAAAACGUAUUCAUCUCUCUCUAUAUCUCUUUCAAAUUUUCUAAAUCACUAUCAUUAUCAUAAUGACAUGGAAAAACCCAUAUGAUGAUGGAAUCAAUCAAACAAGAAAAUCACAAUUACGAUGCAGUGUUACUUAGGUCAAUGAUUCAUGCAAACUCAGUUACGUAAGAAAACUUACCAGAAAGUAUGACAUCUUCCAUGUUCACAGAUUUACGACCAGCAUGCUGUGCAAAAAGCUCAAGGUCCUUUGCCAGUUGUUCUGCAUAUUUGAAGGCCAAAUCGGCAAUGCAAGCAACUAUCGGUUCAGAUAUAUCCAUUCCAUUUUUCUUGGCUUCUGCUUCAGCGAUGGAGAUGGUGGAGAGUCUGAAUCGGUCUCGAAGAAGCUCGCUUUCGAAAUCUUCGUCUUCUCUCUCUGCAUCGGUUCCAUGCCCUCCUUCCAUUUUGAUCUAGAGUUUGAUUCGCCCAUCCUUUUUGCCUAUCGAAAGGAGGGAACGAAAAGCGCGGGAAGAAAGUUAACGCGCCGUUUUAAUUGGCACGUGAAAAGAACGCACGAAUUCUGUACCGUUUUGAUGGCAAUAGAGUAUAUCUUUUGGUAAUGGGCUCUGUUGGCCUAGAACAGAUGCCAUAUGUAGAAGGAAGAGUGCAAAUUUG
This 1451-nucleotide unclassified non-coding RNA is filed under the name Hevea brasiliensis (rubber tree). Lineage: Eukaryota; Viridiplantae; Streptophyta; Magnoliopsida; Malpighiales; Euphorbiaceae. The record is from RNAcentral.